GGUUGAUUGGGUUUAACAGCUUGUAACCUUCUUCCUGUUUUACACUAGGAGGAAGAUUUUGGAUCGUUCUUGCUGUUUUUCCUGAUCGGAGCUUGGACUCCUUCUUUGCAGAGGGAAAUUAGGGCUACUGGUUGAAGAUUGGCUCACUCUGUUCCAACAGCUACUACCUUGAAAUUUUAGCAGCAAACACCCUUUGUUUCAGCAACAACAGCAAUUGAUAAUUUGAGGAUUUUGACACGAGACGAGUAUCUCGGAGU
This is a long non-coding RNA of Zingiber officinale, 257 nucleotides long. RefSeq lists it as uncharacterized. The transcript has 3 exons. The record is from RefSeq and is a predicted model, not a curated record. NCBI's taxonomy places the organism in Eukaryota, Viridiplantae, Streptophyta, Magnoliopsida, Zingiberales, Zingiberaceae.